This 254-nucleotide ribosomal RNA is filed under the name uncultured bacterium. Its description in RNAcentral is "partial 16S ribosomal RNA". It matches the Rfam family "Bacterial small subunit ribosomal RNA", at positions 524 to 776 of the family's 1533-position model. The record is from RNAcentral.
UACGUAGGGUGCGAGCGUUAAUCGGAAUUACUGGGCGUAAAGCGUGCGCAGGCGGUUAUUUAAGUCAGGUGUGAAAGCCCUGGGCUUAACCUAGGAAUUGCGCUUGAGACUGGAUAGCUUGGAGUGCGGCAGAGGGAGGUGGAAUUCCACGUGUAGCAGUGAAAUGCGUAGAGAUGUGGAGGAACACCGAUGGCGAAGGCAAUCCCCUGGGCCUGCACUGACGCUCAUGCACGAAAGCGUGGGGAGCAAACAGG